This 74-nucleotide transfer RNA is filed under the name Acidimicrobiia bacterium. Its description in RNAcentral is "tRNA-Ala". It matches the Rfam family "tRNA". Rfam says of the family: Transfer RNA (tRNA) molecules are approximately 80 nucleotides in length. Lineage: Bacteria; Bacillati; Actinomycetota; Acidimicrobiia. The record is from RNAcentral.
GGGGCUGUAGCUCAGUUGGCUAGAGCGUCUGGUUUGCAACCAGAAGGCCGAGGGUUCGAGUCCCUUCAGCUCCA